ACGCUCGACACCUACGGCAGGCAGCAGUGGGGAAUAUUGCACAAUGGGGGAAACCCUGAUGCAGCGACGCCGCGUGAGUGAAGAAGUAUUUCGGUAUGUAAAGCUCUAUCAGCAGGGAAGAAAAUGACGGUACCUGAGUAAGAAGCCCCGGCUAACUACGUGCAGCAGCCGCGGUAAUCUGAGCGGGCUGGCAAGGC
RNAcentral lists this ribosomal RNA (197 nucleotides) under uncultured bacterium. RNAcentral's name for it is "partial 16S ribosomal RNA". It matches the Rfam family "Bacterial small subunit ribosomal RNA", at positions 326 to 539 of the family's 1533-position model. The record is from RNAcentral.